This 76-nucleotide transfer RNA is filed under the name Rickettsiales bacterium. Its description in RNAcentral is "tRNA-Arg". It matches the Rfam family "tRNA". From Rfam's summary of the family: Transfer RNA (tRNA) molecules are approximately 80 nucleotides in length. Lineage: Bacteria; Pseudomonadati; Pseudomonadota; Alphaproteobacteria; Rickettsiales. The record is from RNAcentral.
GUACCCGUAGCUCAAUGGAUAGAGUAUCAGGUUGCGGACCUGACGGUUGGAAGUUCGAAUCUUCUCGGGUGCACCA